AUUGAACGCUGGCGGCAGGCCUAACACAUGCAAGUCGCGCGAGCGGCGGACGGGUGAGUAAUGUCUGGGAAACUGCCUGAUGGAGGGGGAUAACUACUGGAAACGGUAGCUAAUCCCGCAUACCAUCAGAUGUGCCCAUAUGGGAUUAGCUUGUAGGUAAGGUAACGGCUUACCUAGGCGACGAUCCCUAGCUGGUCUGAGAGGAUGAUCAGCCACACGGGUACUGUGACACGGCCCAGACUCCUACGGGAGGCAGCAGUGGGGAAGAGUGCACAAUGGGCGCAAGCCUGAUGCAGCCAUGCCGCGUGUAUGAAGAAGGCCUUCGGGUUGUAAAGUACUUUCAGUCGGGAGGCGUUACCGACAGAAGAAGCACCGGCUAACUCCGUGCCAGCAGCCGCGGUAAUAC
This 406-nucleotide ribosomal RNA is filed under the name uncultured bacterium. RNAcentral's name for it is "partial 16S ribosomal RNA". It matches the Rfam family "Bacterial small subunit ribosomal RNA", at positions 30 to 526 of the family's 1533-position model. The record is from RNAcentral.